Hemicordylus capensis (graceful crag lizard) is the source of this 1120-nucleotide long non-coding RNA. RefSeq lists it as uncharacterized. NCBI's taxonomy places the organism in Eukaryota, Metazoa, Chordata, Lepidosauria, Squamata, Cordylidae. The transcript has 4 exons. The record is from RefSeq and is a predicted model, not a curated record.
CCACUUGGAGGCUUCCUAGAGGCAUCUUGCUGACCACUGUGAGAAACAGGAUGCUGGACCACAUGGACCUUGGGCCUGAUCCUGUAGGGCUCUUUUGAUGUCCUCAGAAAAUGAGCAAAGAUCUUUAUGUUUGCCUAAAAUCCAUCCUGCUUUCCCAGAAAGUGCCAGCAAAGAGCUACAGGGAGCAUUGAAGCCGUGGUCUUUGGAAACCCAGUUCAGCUUCUGGGAUUUCACCAAGCACACUCCUUCCACAGAACAUGCAGGCCUGUACGAAUUCAGCAGGCAUACUGAUGUGGUACCUUCAGUGUGCAGUGGAAGGGAAAAGAGAUGGAGAUACGGCUAGAAGUGAGGUGGAUGCAUGUAUUCCGGUUACACAGUAAGGUGACCGUUACCUGGCAAGCAGCUCCUCAAAGCCUCCCUUUUAGGGCCUUUUUCUGCUAAGGGGUGGCCAAGCACGCUUUGACGGAUUCAGAUGUGCCCCGCCUUUCUGUGGCAGCUCUCUGCACAACGGAUGUUUUCCUAGAUCUACCCAGCUUUGGAUUAUCUGCUCCAAAGUACACAUCUCCACCCUCCAUACUUCCUCCACCAAGGAAUGUUAGAAUCCACACGUGGGGAAAGGUGUGAGAAAACACUGAAGACACCGUGGCUUUGGGCUGCAGAAGGAGAAAGGAGAAGCAACUCUUCUUCCUAAAUAAGACACCCAUUCUAACUUUUGCUGUUAAUGUGCUGCCAAAGCGGGAACAAUCUUUUCCUUCUGCACACACCAAGAACUUCCGUGCCACAGUCAGGAAGCAGCAGCAGCAGGCGGCGGCGGCGUUGGCAACAGACAGCCACUGCACCAGCCAGAAGACACUCAGCAAACCACCUCGUUCCUCCUGAGGUGGAGGAAUCAUUUCCAGAGUGCGCACCCAUCGAAUGGCUACUGCUCCUUACCAGGACAGAUCCUGGCAGAUCUUCAUUUCCACCCCAGUUCACCACCAGCAAGAGUACACUCUGGGCCAAUAUGAUGUCAUCACAAAACUUCACUGGCAGAGGAACUAUGAGAAAGCAAGCUGCUGCCCAGAGGAGAUGAGCCUCCCCCACCUCGGUCAUUUUGCCUUUCUUAGGAAAAAGCAGUAAA